AGCAGUCGCCGCGGGAAUACGAAGGGGGCUAGCGUUGCUCGGAAUGACUGGGCGUAAAGGGCGCGUAGGCGGCGAUCAAAGUCAGGCGUGAAAUUCCUGGGCUCAACCUGGGGGCUGCGCUCGAUACUUGGUUGCUUGAGUGGGGAAGAGGGUCGUGGAAUUCCCAGUGUAGAGGUGAAAUUCGUAGAUAUUGGGAAGAACACCGGUGGCGAAGGCGGCGACCUGGUCCUUGACUGACGCUGAGGCGCGAAAGCGUGGGGAGCAAACAGGAUUAGAUACCCCCGUAGUCCCUGUCUCUUAUAC
Molecule: ribosomal RNA, 303 nt
Filed under: uncultured bacterium
Lineage: Bacteria
Description: partial 16S ribosomal RNA
Rfam family: Bacterial small subunit ribosomal RNA
Source: RNAcentral